UUGACACAAAACUAGCCAGUACACCACCC
Molecule: non-coding RNA, 29 nt
Filed under: Mus musculus (house mouse)
Lineage: Eukaryota; Metazoa; Chordata; Mammalia; Rodentia; Muridae
Source: RNAcentral